AGAUGACCCAACGUUGCCUAAGUUAGAACAUGCACCGCUGCUGCCCAGGCUCCAAUAAGGGCAGGGUUGGCGCGUGUGGGCUUCUCUAAAGGGAAACAUGGCCAGUAAUUUUAAAAUCCAUCCCCUCUUCAAUGAUAGCAAAUAUAAAAGCAACGGGCUGCAAGGUACACGUAUGUUUAAUGAAAAAUGGAGGGACGUGCUUAAAAACAUGGGUACUAGCCGAUAAAAUGAGUCAAUUAAGACUAUUGCCACCUGCAGUAAAAUGGACCUCACAUUUCUCUUGACUACAGUUUUGUCAGAUCUAAAAUGAGGGUAGCCUUAAGUGAUUUCCAAAUUUCUUUCCAGGUCACAUUAGAUGAAUCUGUACCUUGGGACCACCACACCGUUAAUAUAUAAGACUGGAUUACAAUUAAAGGAUGAGGAAGCUUUCUCAAAGGGUGCUUUGUAUGUGUUUACUAGUUGUGCAAACCAUGAACCUCGGUAAUGUGGUUAAUAGACCAUGAAAAGGAUGUGGUUUCUGCCCUCGGCUUAAAACAAAGACAGCAAUAAGACUAAAAGUACUUCAGGGCACAUGAGAGCAAAUUUCAAUCAAUACUUAUAGGAGAGGGAAGUUAAUUUUGCCUGAAGAGAAGAUCUGGCCUGCAUUAUGCAUUAAUUAGUAUUAGCUAAAAACUAUGUGGACCUAGCCCUUAUCAUUAAAAUAAAACACUCAAGGGUUUACAAACUAUUGAAAUUUAAGAAAAUGUCUUUGCAAUGAAUGCUACUAAGACUCACUGUUAUUAAGUACAUACAUAUCAAUUCCAUAAACUCAAUGGAAAACAUUUUACUGUGCUUGUAAAAAGAAGUGACUCAUAAACAGGAAUUCUGUCAUUUUAUCACUUUCAUGAUAGAAUGAUGUGUAGAAUUUGUUUUACAAUGCUCCAGAAAUAAAAUGUAGGGAAUGGAAAGAAGAUAGGUGAAAGAAAAGUGGUGCAACAUCAGUCAGUGUUGAAGCUAAGUUCAUUUUGCUACUUUACCUACUCAUGCAUAUGUUGGAAAAUUUACAAAAUGAAAAGCUAAAAGGAGAGAGAGCAUCUUCAGCAUGAAAGACAGCCAUUACCAAAGCAUUUCCUAUCUUUAACAAAAACUGAAGUCUUAGCCUUCAGACUAAGGAUGGUAGGAAGAAAGUAGCAAGGAAGUAUGGGACUGACCUUGCCGUAAGGAGUCACAGACCAGGGUAAGGGACCUGUUGCUGUCAGACCAUGAUUGGCAUCUUAGCCCUGACACUUCCUAGCCAUGUGAUUUGGGGCUAAAACUAGUCCACACCAAAGUUCUCUUAAAAUGCGGGUAGUAAUAGAACCUGCUCCAAAAGGUGGCUGUGAAGAUUAUAUGAGAUAAGAAUAAUGCCUAGCACAUAUUCUAACUCAAAAAGCUUACAUAUUAGGUUGGUGCAAACAUAAUUGUGGUUUUUGCCACAAUAUUGCCAACACUAAUAUUAUUAUUUGGAGGCAACAAUACGCUGUAAUGUCUAUUUUUCUUAUACUAAAGUUAACUUCACUUAGCAUGAUACACAAUGCCUCUCACAGCCCAGCUUCAGUUUUGCCCACUUUACAUUCCACUAUUCCCAGAGUUCCCUGUGUCCUAGUAACACAAAGCUACUCCCCAUUCCCAAAGCACAUUGUGUACUUCAGUGUCUCCUUGCUCCUUCAUUCUGAUUAGAACACUCUUCUCCAGUUGUCCAGUGAAUCAUUCAGUCUCUGUCAUGUAGUCCACACUGUACCUCUGAUAGCUCAUGCAGAAUGAGCUGCUGUCUCUUCUCAGAUCCAAUUGCUCUUCUGUAUAACUGAUAUGGUUUGGCUCUGUGUCCCCAUCCAAAUCACAUUUUGUAGCUCCCCUAAUUCCCACGUGUUGUGGGAGGGACCCCAUGGGAGAUAAUUGAAUCAUGGGGGCGGGUCUUUCCCAUGUUGUUCUCGUGAUAGUGAAUAAGUCUCAUGAGAUCUGAUGGUUUUAAAAAUGGUAAUUUCCCUGCACAAGCUGUCUCUCUUUUGGCCUGCUGCCAUCCGCGUAAGACAUGACUUACUCCUCCGUGCCUUCCACCAUGAUUGUGAGGCUUCCCCAGCCAUGAGGAACUGUGAGUUGAAUAAACACUUUUUCCUGUAUAAAUUACCCCGUCUCGGGUAUGUCUUUAUCAGCAGCGUGAAAAUGGACUAAUACAAUAACUUCACCACAUACCUUUCAUAGUAUAAUGCAUUUAUAUGUAGCUAUCACCCUCUACCCUCACUCCUCCAACCACUACUAAAAACUCUUCAAGGUCAAGGGCUUUACCUUAUAUAUCUUUGUGUCCCCUGUAUUGCAGAAUACCCAUCCCAUAGAUGUACUUGGGAUAGACAGCUUCUGGCACUCCUCCCAAGAUCUCUCCCUCCUGGUUACAAAAACCUGAGACUUCCAUUUUGCUGGAAACUUCUUUUCCUCUUGCACACUCACUCUGCGACUCUGUGUGGAGAGCUCCAUGUGACAAGGGAGGUCUGCAGCCUAAGCAACUGAGACCUCAGCCCAACAGCCCUCAAAGAACUGGAUCUUCAAACAACCACAUGAGUGACCUAGAAGCAAAUCUGUCACCAGUGCUCUUGAGACGGGCUGAAGUAUUUAAUCACCGGCACAAAAUGUCCCAGUGUUCUGUUCUCCUGCUGUGGAAAUUUUAGAGAAAAGAUCAUGAUCUAAGAGUCUACAAGACCAGAGCAGCCUGAAUUGCUGAGCUGCCUGGUGGAGAAUAGCAGCAUUGGGUGGUUCCCAGGAUUCUUAAAAGGACUUUACAAAGGCCUGGCCUAAUCACUUAAGAGCUCUUAAGGAGUGAAUGGGCUCUUCCUGAAAAAAGAGCUUCUGCUAACCCUGAAAAGCAAGCAACAACCCUGUGAACUGCUAUGGAGAGAGAUGGCCUCUAACAGCUGAGGACCUCAGUCCUACAACCACAAGAAACUGAUUUCUGCCAACAACAUGAAUGAACUUGGAAAAGGCCCCUGAGCUCCAGAUGAGAACACCCAGGUCAACUCAGGUCAUGAGCAGAGAACCCUGUUAUAUUCUCCUUGGCUUGUGAUCCAUAAACAAUGAGAUUAUAAAUGUGUGGUUUUUAAGCCAUUAGGUUUGUGGUAACUUGUUACACAAGCCUCUUUUAGAUUCUUUACAUACACAAAUAUAUUCUAAACGAAUAAUGAGUCUUCCUUUCCCAUCUUUAUACCAUUUACUUCUUAUUCUUCCCUUACCGCUUUAAGACCUCUAGUAUAAAGUUGACUAGAAAAGGUGGUAGUGGCAUUAUUGUGUAGUUCUUUAUAUCAAAGGGAAGAUUUUCAAUGUUUUCAUGUUAAGUAUGACAUUUACUGUAGGUUUUUCAUAGAUGCUCUUUAAUCAGUUUAAGCAAUUCUUGUCUAUCCCUAGAAUUAUUGUCAGGAAUAAAUGUUGACUUUUAUCGAACACUGUUUCUGCACCUUUUAAAAAUAUCAUAUUUUUUCCUUCAAAUGGUUACUGUGUUGAAUUAUAUUAGCAGACAUUCUAAUGUUAAAGUAACCUAUCAUUCCAGAGAAAAGGAGGUGAGAAUAGCAGUUUAGUUAUGAUGCUGUAUCCCUUUUAUAAAUUCUUGGAUGCAAUUUGCCAAUAUUUGGUCUAAGAUUUUUGCAUUAUGUUAAUGACUGGAAAUGAGUCUUAAUUUUCCUUUAUUUUUCUGGCUUCUUUGUGUUUCGAUAUCAAGAAUAUGCAAGUCUCAUGCAAUAAAUUCUAUGGAAGAGUUGGUUAAGAUUGCAUUUUUUUCCUUACAUGUCUUAUAGAAAUGAGUGGUAAAAUAUCUGAAAAUGGAGGACUACUGAAGAAUUGGAUAUGGUUUCUUCAGGUUGUAAAGAAAAAUAUGUUAAGUAUGCUAACACUUAGAAACACUCAAAUAUAGCAAGCUAAAAUUGUUUAAUCAAUUAACCACUUUUGUGGAAACAUAUCUGCAGAAAUGGAAUGAGACUAUAAAUUAGUGUUUCCUGAACAUAUUUCACUAUCAAACACUUCUUCAAUUUCAGUUUGUAAAAUAAAGUGUAUUUUGUUUAUUUAAAACUUUCUUCUUUCAUUCAAAGAUCCAAGACAAAGAAUGUGUUUAGUCUAGCGUUUUAUAAACAUGAAAUCCUGAAUAUGACAAAUGCAUGCUGAAUUUCAAUAUUUAAUCGGCAUACAUCAGUUUGUUAAUAAAUGUUCCUUAUGUAUUAAAGCUCAGAUUUUGCAUUUAUGAUGCAUGAAGAAUUAUAAAUCAUGUGGUUUCAUCCCGUUGCAAGAAUACAAUGCCACACUCAAAAGUAAUCUCAAAAUACUUGUAUUUCUCAAGUCUUUUGAAAGGG
RNAcentral lists this long non-coding RNA (4346 nucleotides) under Homo sapiens (human). RNAcentral's name for it is "non-protein coding lnc-PLCB1-1:10". The record is from RNAcentral. Lineage: Eukaryota; Metazoa; Chordata; Mammalia; Primates; Hominidae.